Long non-coding RNA from Corvus hawaiiensis (hawaiian crow), 1151 nucleotides. RefSeq lists it as uncharacterized. The transcript has 2 exons. NCBI's taxonomy places the organism in Eukaryota, Metazoa, Chordata, Aves, Passeriformes, Corvidae. The record is from RefSeq and is a predicted model, not a curated record.
GAUGAGAGGCGGCCAUGAGGGGAGAUCAUGGAGGAAGAUGAGAGGCGGCCAUGAGGGGAGAUCAUGGAGGAAGACGAGGGCGGCCAUGAGGGGAGAUCAUGGAGGAAGGUGAGCGGCGGCCAUGAGGGGAGAUCAUGGAGGAAGACGAGGGGGUGGCCAUGAGGGGAGAUCAUGGAGGAAGACGAGGGGCGGCCAUGAGGGGAGAUCAUGGAGGAAGGUGAGCGGCGGCCAUGAGGGAGAUCAUGGAGGAAGGUGAGGGGCGGCCAUGAGGGGAGAUCAUGGAGGAAGACGAGGGGCGGCCAUGAAGGGAGAUCAUGGAGGAGACGAGGGUGGCCAUGAGGGGAGAUCAUGGAGGAAGGUGAGGGGCGGCCAUGAGGGGAGAUCAUGGAGGAAGACGAGGGGCGGCCAUGAGGGGAGAUCAUGGAGGAAGGUGAGCGGCGGCCAUGAGGGAGAUCAUGGAGGAAGACGAGGGGCGGCCAUGAGGGGAGAUCAUGGAGGAGACGAGGGUGGCCAUGAGGGGAGAUCAUGGAGGAAGGUGAGAGGCGGCCAUGAGGGGAGAUCAUGGAGGAAGACGAGGGGGCGGCCAUGAGGGAGAUCAUGGAGGAGACGAGGGCGGCCAUGAGGGGAGAUCAUGGAGGAAGACGAGGGCAGCCAUGGGAUGUGAGGGUGUCAGAGCCCGUCCCAGCUGUUCUGAAAUGUCCUUGCUCAGGUGUGCCAGCAGAACAACGCGCCUCCAAGGUGAGAUCUCCAGGCGAUGGAUUUCACAGGCACCCGCCCUCUGCAUAUGUAAUAACUCACCUUUUCAUUUUAAUUUUCAUUUUAACACGUAAUGAGCUGACUUAGAAACCCAAGCCUGAGGAGCUUGGGAGGAAAUUCAGGAGCAUUUCUGGAAACAGAAGAUUUUGGCUCCUGUUUGGUUGCUUUGGAGAAGGUAUUUGUUUUUUACAAAUUAAAAAAAAAAAAAAAAACCAAAAAAAACCACCAAAACCACAGAUAUUUUGUUGGGAAAUCGCAUCAGGUUUCAUCUUUUCUAUCACGACCGGGUGAAAACCCCUUCUUGUCCCUGCGUUCCACCUCGGACAGCGGUAAUAAAAUCCUACCUGGGGCUGUGUAAAUUCGUUGCUGGUAAAAAUAAACAUUUUUAGAGGCUG